GAUGAACGCUGGCGGCGUGCUUAACACAUGCAAGUCGAACGGUGAAGGAGGAGCUUGCUCUUCUGGAUCAGUGGCGAACGGGUGAGUAACACGUGAGCAAUCUGCCCUUGACUCUGGGAUAACAGUUGGAAACAGCUGCUAAUACCGGAUACGAGACGUGACCGCAUGGUCAACGUCUGGAAAGAACUUCGGUCAAGGAUGAGCUCACGGCCUAUCAGCUAGUUGGUGAGGUAAUGGCUCACCAAGGCGACGACGGGUAGCCGGCCUGAGAGGGUGACCGGCCACACUGGGACUGAGACACGGCCCAGACUCCUACGGGAGGCAGCAGGUGGGGAAUAUUGCACAAUGGGCGAAAGCCUGAUGCAGCAACGCCGCGUGAGGGACGACGGCCUUCGGGUUGUAAACCUCUUUUAGCAAGGAAGAAGCGAAAGUGACGGUACUUGCAGAAAAAGCGCCGGCUAACUACGUG
RNAcentral lists this ribosomal RNA (469 nucleotides) under uncultured bacterium. RNAcentral describes it as "bacterial SSU rRNA". It matches the Rfam family "Bacterial small subunit ribosomal RNA", at positions 28 to 507 of the family's 1533-position model. The record is from RNAcentral.